GACGAACGCUGGCGGCGUGCUUAACACAUGCAAGUCGAGCGGUAAGGCCCUUUCGGGGGUACGACGAGCGGCGAACGGGUGAGUAACACGUGGGUGACCUGCCCUCAGCUCUGGGAUAAGCCUGGGAAACCGAGUCUAAUACUGGAUAUGACUCCAUGACGCAUGUUGUGGGGUGGAAAGCCUUGUGCGGCUGAGGAUGGGCCCGCGGCCUAUCAGCUUGUUGGUGGGGUGAUGGCCGUACCAAGGCGACGACGGGUAGCCGGCCUGAGAGGGCGACCGGCCACACUGGGACUGAGACACGGCCCAGACUCCUACGGGAGGC
Molecule: ribosomal RNA, 322 nt
Filed under: uncultured bacterium
Lineage: Bacteria
Description: bacterial SSU rRNA
Rfam family: Bacterial small subunit ribosomal RNA
Source: RNAcentral